This 5947-nucleotide unclassified non-coding RNA is filed under the name Polistes fuscatus (common paper wasp). Its description in RNAcentral is "integrator complex subunit 1, transcript variant X2". The record is from RNAcentral. Lineage: Eukaryota; Metazoa; Arthropoda; Insecta; Hymenoptera; Vespidae.
AAUAACAAAUGAAAGAUGACACAGAUAGGUGGAGCUACUUAUCUAAUUUUGAUAUUAAUAAGAAUUACAAUGGAGCGUGGCAAAACAAGUACAGGCAGAGGUGCUAAAAAUAAAAUCGUUCAGCAUCCUUCUGGUUUCUUUGCACUUGGAUCGAAAAGUUCCCGUGGAGAAAAUUCGGAUUCUAAAAGACUCGGUGUUAUACAUCCUAAACCAAGCAGUACUGCUUCCACUUCUGACACAGAACGUAAAAAGGAAGCACCCGCAGGAUUUCUAUCGUUAACUCCACAAAAAAAGCCAAAACUCUCACAACAUAUCCCUCAUCAAAGACCGCCGUUUUCUAGCACUGAGGCAUGGGAAGCAGUAGCUACGGAAACUGAUCCAGCAGAUUUUGUUCCAUUAGUGUUAGAAGCUAACGAUAAUGAUGAGGGUGACAAAGUUAUUGGCAUCAUUUGCGGUGCUAUAAAAACUCUUAAAAAUCAAAGAUGGAAACCUGAUACACUAAUAUAUAUGGGAUUACUCUAUUUAGCAAAAAUUCGUGCAUCCAUUUUUUCUAAUGAUUGCAUUCUGCAUGCAUUGUCAUCUCUAUUAAAAAGAGACCAAGCUCAUAAUUAUAAGAGUAAAGGAAAUCCACUUGUACCAGUGCUUGCUGCGAAUUUAUUAAUGAAGGGAUUUCACGAUAAGAAAAAUUGGCCAGAAAUUUUUGUACAAAUUUAUAUUGAAGAUGCAUUGGGUGAACGUGUAUGGAUUGAUCAUGAAGAAUGUAAGGGCUUUGUUGAUAAUAUAUUAACAGGAUUUAAUACAAGACAACCACCCAAAAGUGUAUUACAAACAGAAUUAUCAGUAUUAACACCAAGAGAUUGUCAUAGCCCUUCUACGGUAGACGAUGAAGAACCAGGAACUUCAACUGUACAAUUUUCUGGAGAUAAAGAAAAAAUAGAAUUUCCAGUAACUCCCAGAUAUGCUCAUUGCAUGGAAAAUGUAGAAUACGUUGUAUUAACAGCUGUCAAAGAACAAAUAAAUAGGAGACAACCGGAAUCAAUAACAAGAAAUUUUUUAAAAUUACUUUCUUCGGCAUGUGGAUUUGUAGAAAUCAGAAACAUAGCUGUUCCAAGAUUAGAAAUGUGGCUACAUAAUCCUAAAUUAAUGAGACCUGCACAGGAAUUACUUAGUUAUAUUUGUUAUAAUUGUACAUCGCAUACGCAAAAAGAUGUAGAAGUUAUAAGUCAACUGGUAAAAAUGCGAUUAAAAACUAAAGCUGUGAUUAAUUUAUAUUUAAAUGGGGUAAAGGAACUUAUUGGUCUUCAUCCAGAAAAUUUAUCUACCAUUUUAAAACAUACAAUUUAUAAUGAAUUGUCAAAUGCACGUAAUCCGAAUAACAUGCCAAUGUUAGCUGUGAUUUUUCAAACAUUACCUGAGCAAGCAGCUAAAUUACUUGCAGAAAUAUUUCAAGAUUUAUUAAUGAAUAGAGAAGAUUAUUUAAGACCUUUACGUGCACUGCUCAGAGAAAUUGUACGUGUUUGUCGACACGACAUUAAUUUAGUUACAUUCGCACGUACAUUAAUGUCAGAAAGACAGGAUAUUGCACAACAACUACUAAACUUUGAAUUCAAGGAACGAGUGUUUAUGUCUCUAAUUGAUUUACUUUGUCUUUGUAUGCUUCUGGCUAUCAGUCCACAAGUCAAAGAAACUCUUGCACAACGCGGCGAUAAGGAAGAUGUAGCUAUAUUACAUCAUUUUCAAAAUUUAGUUGCAACAAUACAAUAUGAAACAGUUUUAUGGCUUCGGAAUACUGCACAACAAAUGUAUCUUAUUGGUAAAAAUGAACUGCUUCAUGGUUUACACAAGAUACUAAUGUUGGAAUCUGCUGAACAUUACUAUAAACUAGAUAAUUGGCCACCAGAAUCAGAUAGAGUGUUCUAUCUACGUCUCGUAUCGGAUGUUCCAUUAUUACAGAGCACAUUAUUAAGGUUACUAUUAAUAGGAUUUGCUAAAGAAAAUAGUAUUACACAUUCGGAAACAUUAGAUUUAACAGAUCAAUUAAUAAGAAGAGCAGCAGCAAAUUCAACAGAAAGUUUUCCAAUGUUAGAAGCAGACAAAACGGAUAUUAUUGAACUUAUCUUCAAUCUUUGCAUUUAUCAACCUCCAGGAACAAUAAAUAUACCUUCUGGAUAUGUACCACCAACUUUAGCAAUAUCAAAUUUAUAUUGGAAAGGAUGGAUAAUGUUGUUAAUUUUAGCUGCUCAUAAUCCUUCCACAAUUGGCGCUCUUGCAUGGAAACGAUAUCCUAUUUUACGAACUCUUAUGGAAAUGUGUAUUACUAAUCAUUUUGCAUAUCCUCCACCUACAAUGGCUUUACCAGAAAUUAUGGAACAAGAACGGGCCAAAGAAAUGCAUGUCGAAGCAAUGGAAAAACAAGAAAUUCUUGAAUACGAAUCUCAUUUAGCUGCAGCAUCAACAAGAAUACAAAUUUCUGAACAAACCAGUUUGCUUUUAUCUCAAUUAAUAACUAUGGAUCCAACCGGUAUUGCCAGAAGGCCACCACCAGCUGUCUUAGAACAAAUUAAAUCUUUGAAUGUAUCUCAUAGAUUAGGACAUUUGCUUUGUCGAUCUCGAAAGCCAGACUUUUUAUUAGACAUAAUACAAAGACAACAACAAAGUUCGUCACAAAGUAUGCCAUGGUUAGCAGAUUUGGUACAAAAUAGCGAAGGUUCACUCAGUCAAUUACCUGUACAAUGUCUUUGUGAAUUCUUAUUAUCUACAAGUACUCAGGCAGCUGAAAAACAGCCCAGACAACAACAAUUAUUAGCUCAUCUUCAAACUUUAUUAACUGAUCCGAAUCAAGAUCAACAACAUGCCUACGAAGUUUUAGAGUAUUUUUUAAGAAGAUUAAGUAGUCAACAAAGCAGUAGCCGCCUCCAAGCCAUCACUGGAUUAAAAAUGGUUCUUGACUCAAUACCGCUCGAAGAGGAAAGUAUGGAAAUGGAUAUUGAAGUUGAUAGAGAAAUUUGGUUGCUACGUAAGCUACCAUCGAUACCACAUUUUGUAUCAAUACGUUCUUUAGUAUCUACUGCUCUUCGUGGUGCCUGCCAAGUGGAAAAUAAUCCUGAUCUCGUACAUGCUUAUAUAUCAUAUCUUGCUGCGCAUACUACUGAAGAUGAUCUACCUGAUUUAACUGAUUUAGCAAAUGAAAUUUCACAAUUAGUGGUUGAACGUAGUACAAUUAUUGCUGCAAUUCUUCCACAGCCAGAAGGUGAUAAUCAUCAGGCUAAACAGACAUUACGUGCAUUUAUGGCAAUAUUUUGCAAUUAUCUAGAAAAAGCUAGAGCUCCUAGAGGAGAAGGAUAUGCUUGGUCUGAAAGUCAAGAUCAAAUUCUUGUUCAAUGGAGCAGUGGAGAAGAAUGUACCAUGCAUAUUUUGGUAGUUCAUGCUAUGAUAAUACUUUUGACUUAUGAUUCAUCUGACGAUGAUGAGCUAUUUGUUAAUUUAUUGGAAACGUGGUUCCCUUUAAACACAGAUCCACCUAAAGCGUUUCUUGUAGAUACGAGUGAGGAAGCAUUGCUCAUUCCAGAUUGGUUGAAAUUACGUAUGAUUAGAAGUAAUGUGCCACGAUUAGUGGAUGCAGCUUUGAAAGAUUUAGAACCACAACAAUUGGUUCUUUUUAUCCAAAGCUUUGGAAUACCUGUUUCUUCAAUGAGUAAAUUAUUACAUACACUUGAUGCUGGAGUACAAAUUGAUCCAAGUUCAGUUGGAGAGGCAGUACUUGAUAAAACUUAUAUGGCUCAGUUAGUUGAAGUUCAACAUAGAAGAGGAGCUACAGGAGGAUUAGUAUUUGUACAAGUUUUGCAAUUAUUGGAACCACAUUUACCAGAAGAAAAUGUCAUGGCAUUAAAUAAAUUGCAAGAACCAUUACCUCAAAGUGCUAUGGUACAGAAACAAUCUGUUAUUCAAUGUUCUGUAAAAACUGAUGUUCCACAUCUCAUUAAUCGACUAUUUAUUGAAAAUAUUUCAAUAAAUCAAAAGAUAGAUGCUUAUCGUCGCUUACAUAAAACACUUGCAAAAGAUCUUCAGAAGUCAGCAAAAGAAAGUGGAGCAGUGGUCUUAGCAAUACAACAUAUAUGCAGUGUUUUAAGCUCAAUGCAAGUAAAACAAUUUCUCGCAUCUUUGGUCCAUAUGUCUCAAUAUUCUUGUACUUUAAUGCGUGUAAUAUUACUACCCUUAAAAAAUCUAUCAACCCCAAAGCAAGUGGUUGAAUUGGCACGAAAUAUGUGUUUAAAUCUAAUAUCACUGAUUGGUGACAUAAAAGCACCUAUUCUCUCAAUUUUAAGAGAUUUUGCUAAUGUACAGUUAACGAACACUCCACAACGUAAAGAAUUAAUUAUGUUGAUGCAAAAUAGAGAUCCUGGAGCAAUUUUAGAAAAUACAGAUGCUGUAAAUUUAGAAGGUGUAGGUCGAAAAUUAUUAGAUAUUAGUCUCAAACAACAGAAGAAUGAUGUCCUUAUUGAAGCUAUGACAAGAUUAUUAAUUACUGAUAGUAACGAAGGCAUUGUAAGAUCUCGAACGAGAUUGUUAAUUGACUGGCUAGCUUCUGUAGAACCUGAAUUAAUUGAUACAUGUCCUAAUCUUCAAAUGAAACUUUUAUUUGGAAAAACGAAAGUACAUGUUAAAAUGGAUAAUAAUACCUUGAGUUUGCAUUCCUGCAGACCAUACUUAUUAACACUUCUAACACACAGAGCAAGUUGGACUACUUUAUAUAAAUGUGUAGGACAUUUGCUGGAUAAAUAUGAUGAUGGGUACGAUCCAAGUGCUGUAUUGGAUUUUCUUUGGGCAUUAACGUGUAAUCCUAAACUUUGGCAAGGUCGAGAUAAAUUUACACCAAAGCAUUAUGUACCUGAGAACAUAUUAUUACUACAAAAAGAACAAUUACUAAACCUUGUUGCAUAUGUAGUAGCUGAAGCUGUUAUUAUAUGUAACUGCGAGGACAGAAAUUCUGCGCUUGCCCGUAUGGAACUUCGCCUUGAUUUGUUACUGCAUUGCAUUUCAACAAAUGAUCAUUUGAUUGCUAGUGUAGUAAAGUAUUUAACAGAAAAUAUGAUGCAAAAUAAUAGUGUAAAUUCUGAUAUGGCACAUCAAUUUCUUUUACAUAUGUAUAUGAAAAUACCAAAAGUAAUAUGUUAUUUGGAUGUUAAUCAAACAACAAAGUUUGUUGCCGGUGCAAAAAUAACAGGAUGGACUGGUUCAGUUUUGGAUUGUAUGAGUCACUCUUUAUUAACAGCUUUGGCAGCAACACCACGACAAAAAUCAUGGACUUUUAAAUCUCAAGAAUUUGAAUUGUGUGCUAGAAAAAUAGCGGCUGUACAUCCAAUUUUAGUAUUACGACAACUUCCAAUGCUAGCCUCAUCAUUGAUGGGUCGAUGUUAUGUGGAGUAUAAUCAAUUUAAAACAGGUCAUCAUUUAAAUCUCUUUAUACAAGUAAUGGGAUUGCUGGAAUUAUUACAACCUUAUAUAUUUAAUGAAGAACAUAAAACAGCUUUAGAAGAUACAUUAGAAAAUUAUUUCCUAUGUUUUCAGAUUUACAGUCCGACAAAAGAAUUUAUACCUUUAAUAACCAGAUUUGUAACUUUUCUAUAUGGAUAUAUCUCUUAUGAUCCCAACAGGGCAUUAAAAUAUUUACAAAAACAUGCCCAAAUACUUCACCACUUUAAGGACACUUAUAUCUGGAAUUCCAAUUCCAAGAGAAGGAGAAGAUACAGAAGAGAUACUAUUAACACUUGCUCCUAGCCCACUUCCAUCAGAACCUGCAAUUCCCCAGCAUCGGCAACCUCUAAUUACAGUACUUAAUAAACUGCACGGAGAAGACGUAUUUGGAGUUCUUCAAGAUAUCGAACAUUUGUCUUCUCGCAAACCUGCCAUGUUGGAACCAAUAAUUGAUAAUAUAGCAGAACUACUU